GGAUUCCCUUAGUAACUGCGAGUGAAGCGGGAAAAGCUCAAAUUUAAAAGCUGACAGUCUUUGAUUGUCCGCAUUGUAAUCUAGAGAAGUGUUACCCGCGUUGGACCGUGUAUAAGUCUCCUGGAAUGGAGCGUCAUAGAGGGUGACAAUCCCGUCUUUGACACGGAUAACCAAGGCUUUUGUUGGUACGCUCUCAAAGAGUCGAGUUGUUUGGGAAUGCAGCUCAAAAUGGGUGGUAAAUUCCAUCUAAAGCUAAAUAUUGGCGAGAGACCGAUAGCGAACAAGUACCGUGAGGGAAAGAUGAAAAGAACUUUGGAAAGAGAGUUAAACAGUACGUGAAAUUGCUGAAAGGGAAACGCUUGAAGUCAGUCGCAUUGACUUAGAGAUCAGCCUGGCUUUUGCUGGGUGUAUUAUCUAGUUAAUGGGUCAGCAUCAAUUUUGGUCAUUGGAAAAGGCUGAAGGAAAUGUGGCAUCUUCGGAUGUGUUAUAGUCCUUCAUCGUAUACAGUGACUGGGAUUGAGGAACUCAGCACGCCGCAAGGCCGGGAUGUUUAUCCACGUUCGUGCUUAGGAUGCUGGCAUAAUGGCUUUAAUCGACCCGUCUUGAAACACGGACCAAGGAGUCUAACAUACCUGCAAGUGUUUGGGUGGCAAACCCGAGCGCGUAAUGNAAAGUGAAAGUUGAGAUCUCCUAAUCUUUGGUUAGGGGAGCAUUGACGCCCGGACCAGACCUUUUGUGACGGAUCUGCGGUAGAGCAUGUAUGUUGGGACCCGAAAGAUGGUGAACUAUGCCUGAAUAGGGUGAAGCCAGAGGAAACUCUGGUGGAGGCUCGUAGCGAUUCUGACGUGCAAAUCGAUCGUCAAAUUUGGGUAUAGGGGCGAAAGAC
RNAcentral lists this ribosomal RNA (886 nucleotides) under Gymnopilus sp. RNAcentral's name for it is "LSU rRNA". It matches the Rfam family "Eukaryotic large subunit ribosomal RNA", at positions 72 to 931 of the family's 3401-position model. Lineage: Eukaryota; Fungi; Basidiomycota; Agaricomycetes; Agaricales; Galerinaceae. The record is from RNAcentral.